AACGAACGCUGGCGGCGCGUUUAAGCAUGGCAAGUCGAGCGGCAAGGGCCUUCGGGCCCCUAGAGCGGCGGACGGGUGAGUAACACGUGGACAAUCUGCCCCCCGGCCCGGGAUAGCCCAGGGAAACCUGGAUUAAUACCGGAUGAGACGGGACCCGCGAUGGCGGGAUCCGGGAAAGGCGCUGCGGCGGCCGCCGGGGGAUGAGUCUGCGUCCCAUUAGCUAGACGGCGGGGUAACGGCCCACCGUGGCGACGAUGGGUAGCCGGCCUGAGAGGGUGGACGGCCACAUUGGAACUGAGACACGGUCCAGACUCCUACGGGAGGCAGCAGCUAAGAAUCUUCCGCAAUGGGCGAAAGCCUGACGGAGCGACGCCCGCGUGAACGAAGAAGGCCGUGAGGUUGUAAAGUUCUUUUCGGGAGGGGGAACAACCGUGGCAGGGAAUGGCCGCGGGAUGACGUGAAUCCCGGAAUAAGCCCCGGCUAACUACGUGCCAGCAGCAGC
RNAcentral lists this ribosomal RNA (502 nucleotides) under uncultured bacterium. RNAcentral describes it as "bacterial SSU rRNA". It matches the Rfam family "Bacterial small subunit ribosomal RNA", at positions 28 to 518 of the family's 1533-position model. The record is from RNAcentral.